Molecule: ribosomal RNA, 328 nt
Filed under: uncultured Lachnospiraceae bacterium
Lineage: Bacteria; Bacillati; Bacillota; Clostridia; Lachnospirales; Lachnospiraceae
Description: bacterial SSU rRNA
Rfam family: Bacterial small subunit ribosomal RNA
Source: RNAcentral
GAUGAACGCUGGCGGCGUGCCUAACACAUGCAAGUCGAACGGGGAACUCUCAAAUGAAGGUUCGCUGGAUUUUGAGAAAUUCUAGUGGCGGACGGGUGAGUAACGCGUGGGUAACCUGCCCUUAAGAGGGGAAUAACACCGAGAAAUCGGUGCUAAUACACCAUAUGCUUACAGUAUCGCAUGAUACAGUGAGGAAAUGAAUUUCGCUUAAGGAUGGACCCGCGUUUGAUUAGCCAGUUGGCAGGGUAACGGCCUACCAAAGCGACGAUCAGUAGCCGGCCUGAGAGGGCGACCGGCCACAUUGGGACUGAGACACGGCCCAAACUCC